Molecule: ribosomal RNA, 478 nt
Filed under: uncultured bacterium
Lineage: Bacteria
Description: partial 16S ribosomal RNA
Rfam family: Bacterial small subunit ribosomal RNA
Source: RNAcentral
GACGAACGCUGGCGGCGUGCUUAACACAUGCAAGUCGAACGGUAAGGCCCUUCGGGGUACACGAGUGGCGAACGGGUGAGUAACACGUGGGUGAUCUGCCCUGCACUUCGGGAUAAGCCUGGGAAACUGGGUCUAAUACCGGAUAGGACCACUGCCUGCAUGGGUGGUGGUGGAAAGCUUUUGCGGUGUGGGAUGGGCCCGCGGCCUAUCAGCUUGUUGGUGGGGUAAUGGCCUACCAAGGCGACGACGGGUAGCCGGCCUGAGAGGGUGACCGGUGACACUGGGGCGGAGAUACGGCCCAGACUCCUACGGGAGGCAGCAGUGGGGAAUAUUGCACAAUGGGCGCAAGCCUGAUGCAGCGACGCCGCGUGAGGGAUGACGGCCUUCGGGUUGUAAACCUCUUUCAGCUAUGACGAAGCGCAAGUGACGGUAGUAGCAGAAGAAGGACCGGCCAACUACGUGCCAGCCGCCGCAGUAA